ACUGCCGGUGACAAGCCGGAGGAAGGCGGGGAUGACGUCAAGUCAUCAUGCCCCUUACGACCUGGGCUACACACGUGCUACAAUGGUCGGUACAGAGGGUCGCCAAGUCGCGAGAUGGAGCUAAUCUCACAAAACCGAUCGCAGUCCGGAUCGCAGUCUGCAACUCGCCUGCGUGAAGUCGGAAUCGCUAGUAAUCGCGAAUCAGAAUGUCGCGGUGAAUACGUUCCCGGGCCUGUACACACCGCCCGUCACACCCGGGAGUGGCAGCACCA
This 272-nucleotide ribosomal RNA is filed under the name Pseudomonas putida. RNAcentral's name for it is "partial 16S ribosomal RNA". It matches the Rfam family "Bacterial small subunit ribosomal RNA", at positions 1148 to 1422 of the family's 1533-position model. Lineage: Bacteria; Pseudomonadati; Pseudomonadota; Gammaproteobacteria; Pseudomonadales; Pseudomonadaceae. The record is from RNAcentral.